Nothobranchius furzeri (turquoise killifish) is the source of this 2530-nucleotide long non-coding RNA. RefSeq lists it as uncharacterized. The record is from RefSeq and is a predicted model, not a curated record. NCBI's taxonomy places the organism in Eukaryota, Metazoa, Chordata, Actinopteri, Cyprinodontiformes, Nothobranchiidae.
UGAGUGUCGCCGGAUGAUGUGUUUGCUGUAGAUGCCAUUUGAAAAUAUAGGCAGUGUAAGCACUGUAGAAUCUAAUUAUUUCUUUGCAAAACCUAAUUAGGCAUUAAAAAAGGUUAACGCCAGCGCCUGAAACGUUUUUGUUUAAUAAUCCCAUUACUGCCGGCUCAUCAUGUAUAAAAUGGUGCAGGAGGACACUAAGUUUCCACUUGUUAAAGGGAAUCUCUGAGAAAUGGUCGCAUGUUUUUGACACUAUCUGGGAUUGGAAAUUAGGGGUUGUAAUUAAACUGCGGAGACUCAGCUCAGCACUGCCCACGGAAGCUUCCUGGAAGGCUGUGAUUGGCUGCCUGUCUGGGUAGUGAUAGCAGCCCUGGAGCCGGGGAUGAUUGAUGACGGCGGGGGCAAGGCCGAGCGCUGGCAGCAUAAAGCCCCAUAGACGCUUCAAUAAAGAGCCUGGCUAGUGGAGAGCCUGGGCCCCUCCGCCUCCGAGGACCCGCAGCAAGAGGAGUGCAUGGAGAGAGGCAGGAGGAAGAGAGGGAGAAGGAGAGGUGCUCUGUUGUUGGAUAAUCUGUUUAGCUGUCGAGCCAGCAGCCGUCUGAGGCUGGAUAAGUGCAGCGACGGAUGUGUGUGGGGUGAAAAUAGCAGGGGUUGGCUGGUGGAGAGCUGGAGGGAAGAAACAGGCAGAGACAGAGGAGGAGAGAUGGAUCAUCCAGACUCGGGAUGCAUAAUGGAGAAAUAAAUGGGAAGCGGAUGAAGCCAGCUAAAGAUGAGAACCAUGGCUAGAGGUUUAAAUAUGCCAAAGACCAGAAAGUUUGACCCAAAACAAUGAGUUUGAACCUUCAUGCCGCUACUCUGGUGGCCGUCACUCAGCCAGCCGAUGCACAACUGUGGUGACCUUUGGUUCUGUGUGUCAAUGAGACCCAGCAAGUUUGAUUCCUUCAUUGCUGCAUCCACUGCUGUGCCCCCAGACCACAUGCAGCCCUGUUGUAUACCCCAGCGCACAGCAGCUCUGAAAACCACAAUUAGGCACCAAUCUGCCCCUACGAAGCCAGCUUUGAGUGAGUCCAGCAUGGCUACAUGACGUCCUGCAGACCGUUCUGGCUAGAGUUGGCAGGAUGAAGGUUGGAGUGAUGGGGAUGAUGACUGUCUUCACUCUGCAGGGUCCAGAGAGGUCAGAAAUGGGAGGAAAUGGUUCUUGUUCUUCACAUCCAGAUUGUGAGAUGAAAGGAAAUGUUCUUGUUUCGCAGUUUAAUGUCAUCCUUUUAUGAUUAAGAAGUUUAUCAUUUAAGAGUAAGGUAUAAGGGAAAGCUAUGGGGAGUUUCAUUAGAGGAUGAGAGUUUAGAAAAACCUGGCAAAUCCUGGCAACAGAGCCCUGAUCAUCUUGUAACAGAUAACAAAACAAAGUUGUAAAAUUAUGGAUAGACUCAGAAAAAGACCAGUGGUUUAAACCUAGAGAAGGGUCUGCUGAGAAUCUGAAAUGAAGAAUUUGUCAUCAACUUGUGAUAAAAACAAAACUGGUGGCUGUGCCAAAUGUAAAAGAUGAAUUAUUCAACUUGAUUUUUGAAGAGAUGGCUGAACUUUUGGUAAUUCCAGAUGUUUCUAUUAGAAAUAAUGCAGCAACUGGAGUCUCAUUCAACACUUUCCUUGAUGUUAUGGAGGAAAACUGGAGAAUCAUGUUGUAUCAUUUGUAAAAUGUUCAGUCUGCUCAACCAGAGGGAUUUCUGAUCUUUAUAGUCACAUUUAUCUGUAGCUGGUCUGUUAGGAGAUCACAGCUCCUCUAUCUGCAGACACUGUUUUGCAAAAGUAGUUUUGUAGAAUUGUUAAGUUUAUUUGUAAGUUCCAAUUUUAAUCAAGUUUUACUAGUUUGAAAAAACAUAUUUGUUUAUAAGAUUCUUUGUUUUUAGAGAUGUUUAAGAAAAAAAACUUUCAAGCACAAUUUAUGUUGACUAAUGGGUCACAAAACCAAACAAUAAACUCCACCUUCCAUCAUAUUUCCUCUUUUAUUUGAAUCUGCAUUCAGCCACUUCUGUGAGCUAGAGGAGGUGAACUGUCAAUAACUAUAAUGACACAACAUUUUAGCAUACCUCUCUUCAAAAUAAAGCAUGUCUAGUAAAACAAACCAGAUACAUUCUUUUCUUUUCUUUUCUUUUCUUUUCUUUUCUUUUCUUUCUCUCUUGCAGCCUCUGAAUCCUUCUGGUUGUUGUGAUUUUGCAAUUUCUUUUCUGUUGUACCCACUCAAUACUGCAUUUGCAGAUUUCUCAUUUGUGUUUUCCAUUCCCUGUAAAUACUCUAACUGUUUAAAUUCACAGUCAUUUUCUAUUUGUAUUUUCUAAAAUCUGUAUAUAUACUUCACAUUUUAGAAAAUUUACUGUUUGAGUAUUUUGAACCUUUUAAGUAUUUCUGUCACAUUUUCUAGUUGUUUUCUCUUUAUUAUUACUUUUACGCUUCUUUUUUCCUCUUACAAUAAAUGUGAUUGCUGCUGCUGUGACACCAGAAUCUCCCCACUGAGAGACAAUAAAGGGAUUUUCUAUUU